Molecule: ribosomal RNA, 499 nt
Filed under: uncultured bacterium
Lineage: Bacteria
Description: bacterial SSU rRNA
Rfam family: Bacterial small subunit ribosomal RNA
Source: RNAcentral
GACGAACGCUGGCGGCGUGCCUAAUACAUGCAAGUAGAACGCUGAAGAAAGGAGCUUGCUUCUUUUGGAUGAGUUGCGAACGGGUGAGUAACGCGUAGGUAACCUGCCUUGUAGCGGGGGAUAACUAUUGGAAACGAUAGCUAAUACCGCAUAACAGCUUUUGACACAUGUUAGAAGCUUGAAAGAUGCAAUUGCAUCACUACGAGAUGGACCUGCGUUGUAUUAGCUAGUAGGUAGGGUAACGGCCUACCUAGGCGACGAUACAUAGCCGACCUGAGAGGGUGAUCGGCCACACUGGGACUGAGACACGGCCCAGACUCCUACGGGAGGCAGCAGUAGGGAAUCUUCGGCAAUGGGGGCAACCCUGACCGAGCAACGCCGCGUGAGUGAAGAAGGUUUUCGGAUCGUAAAGCUCUGUUGUAAGAGAAGAACGUGUGUGAGAGUGGAAAGUUCACACAGUGACGGUACCGCGCGAGGAAGCCACGGCUAACUACGUGCC